This is a long non-coding RNA of Rosa rugosa (rugosa rose), 929 nucleotides long. RefSeq lists it as uncharacterized. The transcript has 8 exons. Lineage: Eukaryota; Viridiplantae; Streptophyta; Magnoliopsida; Rosales; Rosaceae. The record is from RefSeq and is a predicted model, not a curated record.
CGGAUCUACACCCAACCGAGAUCACAGAAUCGGGAGCGAUUUGGGGAUUUAGGGUUUCGAAAUCGAAAGCGUCGUCGUUUUCGAAAUGGCGUUGGGCAAGGUGAAGGAGCUCGUCUCGUCCAAUCCGGUAGUCAUCUUCAGCAACAAGCUUUGUCCUUACUGUGUUUGCGUGAAGUAGCUCUUCGUUCUAAAAUUGGGAGUCCAGUACAAGGCCAUUGAAUUGGACCAAGAGAUGUCUGUCUAUAUAUGCUUCAAACUAAGGGCAAUAGAAUGGUGUAUUUCGGUGAUAUGAACUGGUUCCCACUCCUCAAGCGAUCCAAGACUGUACAAACAAAGACUCUAAGCAACAGAUUAGCCACUUUAUUUUCAGGGAGAGGAGACUAGAGUUGUUUGCAAACUGGAGAGCUAAGGGUGGUGUUUUCUUGAUUGGCUACUCCAUUUUCAGAAACUUAUCCCUUGGAACCUUGACUUGAGGAACCCUUUUGUGGAGCAAGCAGUGCAGUACUGUGUGGCUGCUGCUCGAGCAACACUUGACAAAGACAAGAAGGAUUCGUUAGAGAAAUUACCAUUGCAAGGAAACGCAACACCCUGUAACAAAAUAAAGAUGGAUGACAUAGAGACACAUCAUUGGAAAAUAUAAAACGUCAAAAGGAGGGAAGAAUAGGUUAUAUAUGAACGCAUUAGUUCCAUUUGACUUCAGUUUUUCAUUACUUGUCUUCCUUUUUAUUUCAUAAAGUAAAUAGGAGAAAUGCCAGUUUUAGCAACAGGUAAGCAUAUACAAGUAAUUAUUUCUUUAACUGAAAAAUUUAACUUCUUCCUUGCCAUUUUUCUUAGGAUCCUGCACAUUAUCUGCUUAAAGAAGAUGAUUCCCCUUGCAUCUUUGGGUCUAUUGAGAAGCAGAGAUGGUCAUAUGCAUGUGCAAAGCAAUU